CCUACGGGAGGCAGCAGUGGGGAAUAUUGCACAAUGGGGGAAACCCUGAUGCAGCGACGCCGCGUGAGCGAAGAAGUAUUUCGGUAUGUAAAGCUCUAUCAGCAGGGAAGAAAAUGACGGUACCUGACUAAGAAGCCCCGGCUAAAUACGUGCCAGCAGCCGCGGUAAUACGUAUGGGGCAAGCGUUAUCCGGAUUUACUGGGUGUAAAGGGAGCGCAGGCGGCUUGGCAAGUCUGAUGUGAAAGGCUGGGGCUCAACCCCAGGACUGCAUUGGAAACUGUUAGGCUGGAGUGUCGGAGAGGUAA
Molecule: ribosomal RNA, 305 nt
Filed under: uncultured bacterium
Lineage: Bacteria
Description: bacterial SSU rRNA
Rfam family: Bacterial small subunit ribosomal RNA
Source: RNAcentral